GAUGAACGCUGGCGGCGUGCCUAAUACAUGCAAGUCGAGCGAACAGACGAGGAGCUUGCUCCUCUGACGUUAGCGGCGGACGGGUGAGUAACACGUGGAUAACCUACCUAUAAGACUGGGAUAACUUCGGGAAACCGGAGCUAAUACCGGAUAAUAUAUUGAACCGCAUGGUUCAAUAGUGAAAGACGGUUUUGCUGUCACUUAUAGAUGGAUCCGCGCCGCAUUAGCUAGUUGGUAAGGUAACGGCUUACCAAGGCAACGAUGCGUAGCCGACCUGAGAGGGUGAUCGGCCACACUGGAACUGAGACACGGUCCAGACUCCUACGGGAGGCAGCAGUAGGGAAUCUUCCGCAAUGGGCGAAAGCUUGACGGAGCAACGCCGCGUGAGUGAUGAAGGUCUUCGGAUCGUAAAUCUCUGUUAUUAGGGAAGAACAAAUGUGUAAGUAACUAUGCACGUCUUGACGGUACCUAAUCAGAAAGCCACGGCUAACUACGUG
This 497-nucleotide ribosomal RNA is filed under the name uncultured bacterium. RNAcentral's name for it is "partial 16S ribosomal RNA". It matches the Rfam family "Bacterial small subunit ribosomal RNA", at positions 28 to 507 of the family's 1533-position model. The record is from RNAcentral.